GUUUUAAGCCCUGUCAGCUCUGCACUGGAGCGUUUAAAGACAAGGCAGUUGAUUAUGAGGGGCUGCUUCUGAGGAUGGGAGCCAGGAGUUCCUCAGGAGAGGGAACUGGCUGAAUGCAGAAGACCAGGAGGAGGACUCAGAUCCACAUCUGGUUGCCUCUUUGUUUUCCUCAUGUCCAUAGCUGGCUAGCAGCAUUCACCCAGUAUUGAAAUUGAGAUGUUAAAAGAAUCUGUCUUUUUGCUUGUUGCUCUGGAAGAGCCACCAGAGGAUGAAGCACCAGAAAAAAAUAUUGGGCGACACACUGAAAGGGCAAAGUUUAUUUUGUGGUGCCAGGGAGGUGAGCUUUGUUCCACAGGUUUCUGGAAGAGAAAUAAUGAAGUUGGUGUAACCAGUGAAGUGGCAGAUUUGCAAAUUGCACCAAAGCAGAUUGUGAGGAGCUCCAAAAGGUUCUCUCCUAAUUGGGUCAUGGCAGGAGUGAGAAAGCCUCACACAAUGAAUCAGCGCAGCCCAUCUGGGCUUGUAUGCAGGCUAGACAUGGAGCACCAGCCUUGAUGUCAAACUGGAUAAUGAACAGCAACAUUCCUCCUCAGAAAAAACAUUCAAAUAACUGUCAUAUUGAAUUAGAGUGCUUGUUGGGAGGAAGAAAGUCUGUUAAGCCCAUGGAGUUGUUCUUGGGGUGUAAAUUCUGCAGAGGUUCAGAAUUUCUGAAGCAUAUUUUUUCUUUUGCUCUUUCAUUUCUCCAUUUUUAUUUACAAGGUUUAUUUAUUUAGGUUUGUGUAUCGCCUUUCAUUAUAACAUUUGACAGCAAUGUACAACGUAGAUCUCUUCAUAACAUACGUUGGGUCUCUUGAUCCACAAUACCACCUACAAGCAAUAAAUAAUCUUAUGGCAUAUUAAAGAUGACAUGAUAAAGAUGUAAAUAUUGUUUAACAUUUAAAUUGCUGAAAUCUUAUUUUUUGCUUAAGCAUUAACAUGGUCAGAUCCAUUUUUUUAAUACUACCUACAAGCAAUAAAUAAUCUUAUGGCAUAUUAAGGAUGACAUGAUAAAGAUGUAAAUAUUGUU
Long non-coding RNA from Hemicordylus capensis (graceful crag lizard), 1063 nucleotides. RefSeq lists it as uncharacterized. The record is from RefSeq and is a predicted model, not a curated record. NCBI's taxonomy places the organism in Eukaryota, Metazoa, Chordata, Lepidosauria, Squamata, Cordylidae. The transcript is spliced from 6 exons.